This 183-nucleotide ribosomal RNA is filed under the name Blautia obeum. RNAcentral's name for it is "partial 16S ribosomal RNA". It matches the Rfam family "Bacterial small subunit ribosomal RNA", at positions 1 to 164 of the family's 1533-position model. The record is from RNAcentral. Lineage: Bacteria; Bacillati; Bacillota; Clostridia; Lachnospirales; Lachnospiraceae.
UUUUAUCAGAGAGUUUGAUCCUGGCUCAGGAUGAACGCUGGCGGCGUGCUUAACACAUGCAAGUCGAACGGGAAACCUUUUAUUGAAGCUUCGGCAGAUUUAGCUGGUUUCUAGUGGCGGACGGGUGAGUAACGCGUGGGUAACCUGCCUUAUACAGGGGGAUAACAACCAGAAAUGGUUGCU